This 253-nucleotide ribosomal RNA is filed under the name uncultured bacterium. RNAcentral's name for it is "partial 16S ribosomal RNA". It matches the Rfam family "Bacterial small subunit ribosomal RNA", at positions 524 to 776 of the family's 1533-position model. The record is from RNAcentral.
UACGAGGGGGGCGAGCGUUACUCGGAAUUACUGGGCGUAAAGGGUGCGUAGGUGGUUUGUUAAGUCUGCUGUGAAAUCCCCGGGCUCAACCUGGGAAUGGCAGUGGAUACUGGCAAGCUAGAGUGCGGUAGAGGGUAGUGGAAUUCCCGGUGUAGCAGUGAAAUGCGUAGAGAUCGGGAGGAACACCAGUGGCGAAGGCGGCUACCUGGACCAGCACUGACACUGAAGCACGAAAGCGUGGGGAGCAAACAGG